CAUGUCCUGACAGUAUUGACAUUAAUCCAAUGUAACUAUGUCGAUGUGCUGCACAUGAUACUGAGAAGAAUGAAGAUAAUGGGGACAGUAAGGCCAUAGGAUUAACUUUCUCAAGAAGAUAUUGGAGUCAUAAAGAUGUGUAUUUCUUAACCUGUAGAAAAGGCGAGUCAUUUUGGAAAUAUUAUUUUCAGAUUAGCAUUGUCGAUUAUGCAUACAUCACACACUUAAUCUACCUCGGGUUCAUUAUUACAGGUUUUUCUAGCUUUAAGGAGAUUGAAAGGGAACUGGAAUAGGAUAAGAUGACAUUUGAGACACAGCUUAUCAUUAGUUUUGCUAAUUCCAGAAUGGUGACUUCAAUAUUUAUCAUGAGGAACAAUAAGUUUUCCAGCGUGAAACUGGUUAGAGCUUUCUUUUUUUUUUUCUAAGCAACAGCUGGUUAGAGAUUUCUAAAUCUCAUGAUAUUUAUUUACUCACAAUAUAAGGGAACAAUGGGUUUUGCUUCACCUUUUCUUCUCUAUUGUAGUUUGCAUAGAUAAAUAUGCAGCGACGGCGGUGACGAAAAUAUUAAUCGAGCUGAAGCCUUGCAAUCUGAUUAUGUUUAUAUAUACCUUUAUCUCUAUCUCUAUUGCAUUGGACUACAAUAAACGAGCUCAACCUUUUUCACUUGAGUUAAUGACGACUGAUUACCACUGCCUGGUCGAUGCUCCCUUCCAUUUGAACUUAAUCGUUCCAAAGGAAACUCUACCACAGAGCCUUAAAUUUCCCUACACACCCUUCUGCUACUAACUUAUACAAGAAACAAUCUCAGCACAAGCAACAGGGAUCGGUAGGCAUUGGCAUAUACAUAUACGGUGCUUUGACUGCUGUCCCCCUAACUA
Brassica napus (rape) is the source of this 878-nucleotide long non-coding RNA. RefSeq lists it as uncharacterized. The transcript is spliced from 3 exons. The record is from RefSeq and is a predicted model, not a curated record. NCBI's taxonomy places the organism in Eukaryota, Viridiplantae, Streptophyta, Magnoliopsida, Brassicales, Brassicaceae.